AGGUAGCGAAAUUCCUUGUCGGGUAAGUUCCGACCUGCACGAAUGGUGUAAUGAUUUGAGCGCUGUCUUGACGGGAGGCCUGGUGAAAUUGUACUACCGGUGAAGAUACCGGUUACCUACAGUAGGACGGAAAGACCCCAUGGAGCUUUACUGUAGCUUGGUAUUGGGUUUUGGCAUUGCAUGUAUAGGAUAGUUGGGAAACUAUGAAGAUAUGGCGCUAGCUGUAUUGGAGUUGUCGGUGGAAUACCAACCAUUCAAUGUCGAAAUUCUAAUCUGUGGUUUGCAGCCACGGAAACAGUGCUAGGUGGGCAGUUUGACUGGGGCGGUCGCCUCCGAAAGAGUAACGGAGGCGUUCAAAGGUUCUCUCAGGUUGGAUGGAAAUCAACCGCAGAGUGCAAUGGCAUAAGAGAGCUUAACUGCGAGACUGACGGGUCGAGCAGGUGCGAAAGCAGGACAUAGUGAUCCGGCGAUUCCGAAUGGAAGGGUCGUCGCUCAACGGAUAAAAGCUACCCUGGGGAUAACAGGCUGAUUUUGCCCGAGAGUCCAUAUCGACGGCAAAGUUUGGCACCUCGAUGUCGGCUCAUCGCAUCCUGGGGCUGGAGAAGGUCCCAAGGGUUGGGCUGUUCGCCCAUUAAAGCGGUACGUGAGCUGGGUUCAGAACGUCGUGAGACAGUUCGGUCCCUAUCCACUGUAGGCGUUAGAAUAUUGAGAAGAUCUGUCCUUAGUACGAGAGGACCGGGAUGGACAAACCUCUGAUGUACCAGUUGUCACGCCAGUGGCACAGCUGGGUAGUCACGUUUGGAACGGAUAACCGCUGAAAGCAUCUAAGCGGGAAACCAGCUUCAAGAUAAGUAUUCUUUAAGACUCCUUCGAGACUAGAAGGUUGAUAGGUUGGGGGUGUAAGAGCUGCGAGGCUUUUAGCUGACCAAUACUAAUAAGUCAAAGUUUUAACCUA
RNAcentral lists this ribosomal RNA (955 nucleotides) under human gut metagenome. RNAcentral describes it as "bacterial LSU rRNA". It matches the Rfam family "Bacterial large subunit ribosomal RNA", at positions 1954 to 2925 of the family's 2925-position model. The record is from RNAcentral.